UACGACUUCGACAACACCAUGGACGGGCUCUACAUCGCCCCGGCUUUCAUGGACAAGCUCGUCGUGCACCUGGCCAAGAACUUCAUGACCCUGCCCAACAUCAAGGUCCCUCUGAUUCUGGGCAUCUGGGGUGGCAAGGGGCAGGGGAAAUCGUUCCAAUGUGAGCUUGUGUUUGCAAAGAUGGGGAUCAACCCGAUCAUGAUGAGUGCUGGGGAGCUCGAGAGCGGCAAUGCCGGUGAGCCGGCGAAGCUGAUCCGGCAGCGGUACCGGGAGGCGGCGGACAUUAUCAAGAAGGGCAAGAUGUGCUGUCUAUUCAUCAAUGAUCUCGAUGCCGGGGCCGGGAGGAUGGGUGGAACCACGCAGUACACGGUGAACAACCAGAUGGUGAACGCUACGCUGAUGAACAUCGCUGACGCGCCGACCAAUGUGCAACUUCCAGGGAUGUACAACAAGGAGGAGAACCCCCGGGUGCCGAUCAUAGUCACCGGCAACGACUUCUCCACCCUCUACGCGCCGCUCAUCCGAGACGGGCGCAUGGAGAAGUUCUACUGGGCGCCGACCCGCGAGGACCGCAUUGGCGUGUGCAAGGGCAUUUUCCGCACCGAUGGCGUCCCCGACGAGGCGGUGGUUAGGCUCGUCGACAUGUUCCCGGGGCAGAGCAUCGACUUCUUCGGCGCGCUGCGUGCCAGGGUUUACGAUGACGAGGUGCGGAAAUGGGUCGGGGAAAUCGGUGUGGAGAACAUUUCCAAGAGGCUGGUGAACUCGAAGGAGGGCCCGCCCAAGUUCGAGCAGCCGAAGAUGACAAUCAGUAAGCUCAUGGAGUAUGGGCACAUGCUUGUCCAGGAGCAGGAGAACGUGAAGAGGGUGCAGCUUGCAGACAAGUACCUCAGUGAGGCUGCACUGGGUGAAGCCAACGACGACGCCAUGAAGACCGGGUCCUUCUACGCCAAGGCCACUUGAUUCUAGUAAUUAAGAAUGCCGUCACUAUAUAUGCAUGUUUGGAAAAUUCCGUACCUUUUUUGAUUCAUCGCCGCACAGGUAAACGAUUUGAAUUGUAAGUUUCUGAAUACAAAGAAAUGGAAUUGUAUAUGUGAAUUACUUGUUGGAACAUUAUCAUAUAUCUGGAAAUCCUCUGAGGCUUUCUUGAUUAGGUACCGUGGGGGUCAUAUAAUUGGACAGAGAUUGUGAUGCAAACGGCUGGAUUAUUGUUUCAAGAAGAAAGAUCAAUGGUCUAUACUAAACCCAAAAAUCAAUUAAUGAGACUUCCAGGGAAAUUGAUCUUGGCAGCUCAUACAUCAAAGCAUUGCAGAAAUGACAUGCUUAGCUGUUUUUUCUCAAAAAAGUACAGACAUGGCUACCUUAAUUUUAUCUUUUCCAUACUGAUGUUUUACCAAAGAUGCAAUGUAUGGAUGUCAUGCAAGUUCUUUUAUUUUUGCGGUAAUAAUGCGAAGUAUGAAGCACAAACGUACAACACCCAUGUGCCUUGAUGUCAACAGGGGCCGACUUAACUUGUGUGGUACCAAUUGACAGCCCUAGCUUGAUGGUUAUCAACAAACCAGCAAAUAUAAGCCAGCAACAUAUUUUGUGGUACUCGAACUAGGAUCCAAUCUCGGGUGCCUCAUCCAACAAGCAACAUAAGAGUUCAUUUUUGUGUGGUUAUGGAAUAGAAGACCCCAGCUUUCGGCUAGCUGAUGAUCAACAAGACACACUAUCUAUACACCGUGAGUCCGGGUGAAAAGAAACAAAAAUGAAAGGCAAGGAAAGAAGAAAGGAUUCUGAUCAGAGAAUGGCUAGAUCCUGUGGCUGUGGAAUGUUAUAGGAUUCGAGCCAGGAGAUAUCAUAUAGCUGAGCUGCAAGCUGCAGCGUUUGGUCUUCACAGUCCAAGUCAUCCAAACCAGCGGGGGCCAAGAUGCACCCGGCCAGAACCCAAUCUCCAGUGUGUGGCCUGUGGGGGAUCAAGAAGCUGAUCCACAAGCACGGGUGUGUGUGUGCCACCUCCCAGCAGCCUCCCACAGCAACAAGAUGGAUAUCCACGUGUAUUUAAGGCAUCUCAUACCUCUGCCUCUAUACUUUGAGCAGCAGCAGCCAUUACUUGAUCAUCUGAAAAAUCUUAAUCCAGAUCAGACCAAGCAGAGCAGAGAUGUCUGCUACCUUCUCGUCCACCGUCGGAGCUCCGGUGCGUACCACACAUCGAUUCAUCGGUCCACAGCUAUCUUUUCUUAAUGGUAUCAUGUCUUCAAUGGCGUCUUGUGUUGUGUCUACAGGCUUCUACGCCAACCAGCUUCCUUGGGAAGAAGCUCAAGAAGCAGGUGACCUCGGCCGUGAACUACCAUGGCAAGAGCACCAAGGCCAACAGAUUCACAGUCAUGGCCAAGGAGGUGGACGAGUCAAAGCAGACUGACCAGGACAGGUGGAAGGGCCUCGCCUACGAUAUCUCCGACGACCAGCAGGACAUCACCAGGGGGAAGGGUAUCGUCGACUCGCUCUUCCAGGCGCCCAUGGGCGACGGUACCCACGUGGCCGUCCUCAGCUCCCAAGAGUACAUCAGCCAGGGCCUAAGGAAGUACGACUUCGACAACACCAUGGGAGGCUUCUACAUCGCCCCAGCCUUCAUGGACAAGCUCGUCGUCCACCUCUCCAAGAACUUCAUGACCCUGCCCAACAUCAAGGUACGCAGCCAGCACAUGAUCAAUUCAUGACUAUUUAAUUUAAUUUAUUAGCAGUAAUACAAUUGAACAAAGCUGUUUGUGAAGCUUUACUGUAAUUUGGGUGCUAACGAAUCGAAAAUUCAGGUGCCACUCAUCUUGGGUAUCUGGGGAGGCAAGGGUCAAGGAAAAUCCUUCCAAUGUGAGCUUGUCUUCGCCAAGAUGGGCAUCAAGUAAGAACUGUUUGAAGUUACUUUCAUCUAUUGUUAAUUGCCAGCAACACAAAUAUCAUGUCUGCACCCGAAUUAAGCAAGUAGUAACAGAUGAUGAUGUGUGCUUGCUACAGCCCAAUCAUGAUGAGUGCCGGAGAGCUGGAGAGCGGAAACGCCGGAGAGCCAGCCAAGCUGAUCAGGCAGCGGUACCGUGAGGCCGCAGACUUGAUCAAGAAGGGUAAGAUGUGCUGCCUCUUCAUCAACGAUCUCGACGCUGGUGCGGGUCGGAUGGGCGGGACCACCCAGUACACUGUCAACAACCAGAUGGUUAACGCCACCCUGAUGAACAUCGCGGAUGCCCCCACCAACGUGCAGCUCCCUGGGAUGUACAACAAGGAGGAAAACCCCCGUGUGCCCAUCAUCGUCACUGGUAACGAUUUCUCCACGCUCUACGCGCCACUCAUCCGUGACGGUCGUAUGGAGAAGUUCUACUGGGCCCCCACCCGCGAAGACCGUAUCGGUGUAUGCAGGGGUAUCUUCCAAACUGACAACAUCAGCGACGAGUCCGUCAUCAAGAUCGUAGACACCUUCCCAGGCCAAUCCAUCGGUACGUUCCCUGCACUCCACCGAUAAUAGUAUGCAUACAUCAAUGCAAGAGUAGUAAUUAACAAAGGAAAUGCUGAUCCCAAAACAGACUUUUUCGGAGCGCUGCGUGCCCGGGUGUACGACGAUGAGGUGCGCAAGUGGGUCAGCUCAACCGGAAUAGAGAACAUCGGCAAGAAGCUGGUGAACUCGAAGGAUGGACCGGUGUCCUUUGAGCAGCCAAAGAUGACAAUCGAGAAGCUCCUGGAGUACGGCCACAUGCUCGUCCAAGAGCAGGACAAUGUCAAGCGUGUGCAGCUUGCUGACAAGUACAUGAGCGAGGCUGCUCUGGGAGAUGCUAACUCAGAUGCCAUGAAGACUGGUUCCUUCUACGGUUAGAACACUCUUCAUACACACACCAUCUCUAGCUGCAUAGGAGGAGGUGAACUACAAUCUUUUUUUUUCUAUUUUCAGUAUCUACUUUACAUAUACUUCAAACUUGUGUACUUCCAAAAUAAAAGGGAGUGAAUUAUAAGCGACAGCGAGAAAUUAUUCUUACCUGUUCUUCUGGCACAUCAAGCUGAUCUUCUCAUUGCAUUGUGCAAAACAACUAAAUUUCAGGUAAAGGAGCACAACAAGGUAAUUUGCCCGUCCCAGAAGGUUGCACUGACCGGAAUGCCGAGAACUACGACCCAACAGCAAGGAGUGACGACGGCAGCUGCCUUUACACCUUUUAAGCAUGCCACUUUAAUUAUUCUGAUGUUUCACUCUUUGUACCUAAGUACCGCAUUGCAUCCAAGCAAUUGCUGGGCAUGAAAAGUUUUUGUUCAUAUAUAAAGAUAUUGAGUAUAUUCAUUUGGUGAACAGUAAUAUAUAUAACUACUUAUCCUUGCAGUAUUCAUUUCUUAAAUAAUUCUUAGUCUGACUCUGAUAAGUGAGGAAAGCUCCUGCUUGUUGGAAACAAAAUAGAAGUAACAAUUUGAGGUUCAGCUUGUUUAGGGUCGAGAGUUAGUGUCGCUGCUGUGCGAAUGCCAGCCCAGGAUUGAUCUCCCGUGGUCACAUCUCCGGGUGCCUCGUCUUUCUUAACUCGAUGAAGUGGCUUAAGGAGAUAGCAGAGAAAACAGAUAGUGGGGGGCGUCUGUAUAGGCAUAUACGAUUAAAGAGUGUACAGGGGCUUCUCCCCCUUAUAUCAUUCAGCUUCCGCUUGUUGUUGGACAAACAAAUGAAAGGAAAAUGGGGAGUCAAUUGCAAACAUAAAAUAGAUGCACUAUGUUAAUAUCAAACCUGCUGAUCCAACAUCCGAACUGAAAGACAAAUGAAAAGAAGCAGCUGGUUUUACCAAUGGCUCUGAAAAGCUACAUAUCCUCAAUACCUAUCUAGAUCAUGGGUGGUUCCGUAAGACCAAGAAGUGCGUGUGGCCAAGGUUGUCCACCAAUCGGUAUUUUGUGCCCUAUUGUUCAAAGCGGUCAUGGAAAGUUGCAUAUUUCAACAUCUUUGUCAAGCUGUGUAAUAGAAAAUCUAUGUGUUUGUGGUUGUGAACUGGGCAAGAUUGUUUACUAGCGCAACUGGGAAUACCAAUUCUUGUAAUUUUGAAGUCGCAUUCAGUAAAAUGUGAUGUUCGAAUUGUGAACUAAUCAAUGAGGAGAAGCAUAGGAAACUAGUAUAAAGCAAGUGUAUGCAGCUUUAAUCAUUUUGUGGACACAUGCAUAAUUUUUUUAAUGUUAUCUGUAUGUAAUAAAAGUGAGGUGACGUGAGUUACUUGUUCCAAUCACUUUGCCCAAUUUAGUUGUUGCUUAUCUUAUCACCGCAAAAGAUUUAUCACUGAGUUCUACUGUGGUGGCUAAAUAAACCAGUUUGUUCAAUCAAUCAACAACCUAAUUCAUCAGAACAUUUCUGAGACCCUUUUGGAGCGUACAAUUUUCAGUAAAUUAAGAAACAUGAGCUGCCGAAAUGUUUCGGAUCCAGUAGCUGAAACAUGUGUUUGGUGUUAUCCAAUCGAUCCAGACAACUCCAACGCAUAUCAAUGACACAGGACAAGGAAGUAAAUGGAAGGAGGGAUUACCGAACUAGAUUGCGUAGCAGUGUACUCCUCGCAAGCAAGAUAAAGUAGCAGCGGUUGGUCGCAGCAAUCGGCCUCCAUUCCCUCGACGAACAAAACACGGAAUACUGAUCAGGUAUUUCGACAAACACCUGGCAGGCAUAUCGGCGCGGUGAUGUGGUCAGAGAAACGAGGAAUCAGAAGGGGACGGAGGGAGAGCAUAUCUACAUGUAUGCUAGAUAACGGAAGCCGCGUGCGCCUGGCGCGGUGAACCUGGAAAAGCACGGCCACC
RNAcentral lists this long non-coding RNA (5769 nucleotides) under Brachypodium distachyon (stiff brome). RNAcentral's name for it is "long non-coding RNA (BDIS_LNC004271)". The record is from RNAcentral. Lineage: Eukaryota; Viridiplantae; Streptophyta; Magnoliopsida; Poales; Poaceae.